Molecule: long non-coding RNA, 260 nt
Organism: Lepidothrix coronata (blue-crowned manakin)
Lineage: Eukaryota; Metazoa; Chordata; Aves; Passeriformes; Pipridae
Exons: 2
Source: RefSeq, a predicted model, not a curated record
AAACCCAAAACAAACACAAUAAAGAAACAGGAAAAAGAACUCAAACCCCAGGAACUAUGUUUCUGUCACUGUGAUGCGACAUGUGUGGGCUUCCAGCAGUGCAAUGAGCUGUAGCUCAUGUCUCUCACACACUCGCUCCUGAAGGAUCAUAUCCUGCAGUCUUGAGCAGGCCUCAGGGAGUUCUGUCAUCUGAAAAAAGCUUUGACCUCAUGAAAAGCCACAAUAUCAGAGCUAUAAGUAUGAGACCAUCCCACAACAGU